ACGGAUCUUCUUUUUCAGCCAAAAAUGCCCUCCAGAAUCCUACUUCAAGUCCAAAUAUGAAAGUUACAAUUGGAAUUCAAAAUCCCGUUUAGAUCUCAGUCUUUUUUAGAAGAAAAAUCAUAAAAGAAAUAAAAAAAUAUAGAAAACUGAAAACUCAAAAAAAACUUUACUGUUCCAUUAAAAUUGGAAGUUGAUUUCAAUUUCUGGUUACUGAUUAACCUUCUGCAAUUGUUACUUCUGUCGAUUGAAGGUACAGAAUCAUUUCGAGAUGAAAUUAGUGUUCUAAAUCAGGUUUGAGUGUUUUUUUCUGGUUGUCUCUGCAUUGACAUUCAUUUUUAGGUCGUUAGCUGCUGUGUGGAGUUCAUUUGCUGGUUUUCCUUUUGAUUUGAAUCACUCCUGAACUGCUGGUCGUUGCUGUUGAAUCUGCUGCUAUGUUGAAUAGGUGUUUUACAUGAAGCUGACCUCUUUUUCUUCUUCUUUUAAACGUUGAAUACCAGGUACACAUUUUGAAUCACCUCGAUGUAACUUGAAUUGAUGUUGAAUUGGAAGUUUUCACCAGACCUGCAUUUGGGUGUUAUCUGUUGUCUCUGAUUCACUAAAUGUUAAAUGAAGUAGAAGUAGUUGAUAUUAGCUCUGUUUUGUAUUUUAUUGAAUAAUAUAAAUGUGAUUGUGUAAUUGGAACUACCUUAGGCUGCUUUGGACUGUGUCAAUUAUUGUUGGUAACAGACUGUUAUAUCAUCCAGGAAACAUAUGUUCAGUAGCUAGUCGAACCACUAAUUGUCAUUAGCUAUAAUUAGUUUAGUGUGUUUGUUCAGUUUAAACUUUUAAAGUUAGAAAAUAACUCUAGUUAGCAUUCUCCUUUUGAAGCUAUGAAAUUGUGCUUGCAUCAAUGGUUGUUGACUGAAUUUGUAAUAACAUGCACGUAAAUGUCGAGCUAGGACAUUUUUGUAUGGGACUAGUUAACAAAUAUCUAAUGAACAGUUAAUUGAUUCAUGCUUUCCUAGUCGAAUUCAAAACUUGUGGGUGUUUAGGUCGUUGAUUAACGUUGGAAUUGAUAAAUCAUAGUUGAUAUUGCUAAUUGUUGGUGGGAAGCAUUACUGAAAUCAAGCACGAUUAGUUUGUCUUUUUUCACGUAAAAAGUUGAACAUAGUUAUUCUGCCCAGCUAAUGUAAAUUGCAUUUUUUUAGUUUGAAACUCUGUGAUUUCAAUUGUCCUUGUCAAUUAGUAGAUAAUAGUUAGCAUCCAAUUAAAUCGUGGGUCUGUUAGCUUCAAGGGAUCGAUCAUUUGAUCUCCCUAGGCAGCCUAUUUUGCUUUGUCUUUUCGGGCUUCCUCAAGGCCCACUCGCUGCAAUUAAUUCACAUACAGAACCAUUUGGUUCAUAAGUUGGGACUGUUUCAGAGAUUUCAAUUCAAGAUUUAGUAUAAUGUAAGUUUGGGCUUUGAGUUAGGUAGAGGGUUCAAAUUAAGGGGCUCCCUUCUUGUUUGAAUCCGGACUUAAGCUCGAGGCCCGAAGCUUAUAAUAUUGAUCGACUAGGAUUUUUUCAUUGUUAGAGAAAAAAUAGAAAAUCAUAGUUUCUUUUAGGCUUUCCCAUUUAAAAUAAAGUGAUACGAGCCUCGUGCAAUAAAAUAUAAUAUUGUGGGGCCCUCAGUAAAGUAAAAAAUACUUAGAAAUUCGGGACGAGCUGUUUAGCGAAUUUCACGGCGAUCCCAAAAAAUAACAAUGCGUUAGUCUUUUUGCGUUAGUCUUUUUAGAUACGAUUUUAAUAAAAUUACAUUCCUAAACUUGGGUGUUCAUUUCAUGCGACCCAAAUCAAAUCCCAAAACUUUGAAUAGAGUUGCUUAGGAUUGCGGGUUCAUUUCAUGUGACGUGAUCCGAAGGCACUCUUCAAACAAUGUUCAACUUUCUUUUGAGAAAUACAUAUUGAAUAAAGGCGGAUAAAAAUAAAAAUUGGCACAUAGGUUCUUCAUAUAAUAAAAUCAGAUAAAUAAGCUACAACAGUUCAGAGGACGUGCUAGAAUCACGGAACUCGGGAAUGCCUAACACCUUCUCCUGGGUUAACAGAAUUCCUUACUCGAAUUUCUGAUUUGCGGACUGUCAAACACGGUCAUAUUUUCCCCAGUUCGAGAUUCAACUGGUGACUUGGGACACCAUUAAUCUCCCAAGUGGCGACUCUAAAAUAUUAAUAACUAAAUUCCAUUCCGAUUAUUCUUUAAUUAAAAAACCUUCUUAAUGCCCUUGCGGGUGUAGUGAAAAAGGAGGUGUGACAGCUUUGGCGACUUUGUUGGG
This 2286-nucleotide long non-coding RNA is filed under the name Nicotiana benthamiana. Its description in RNAcentral is "long non-coding RNA (NBEN_LNC032057)". The record is from RNAcentral. Lineage: Eukaryota; Viridiplantae; Streptophyta; Magnoliopsida; Solanales; Solanaceae.